AGCAGCCGCGGUAAUUCCAGCUCCAAUAGCGUAUAUUAAAGUUGUUGCAGUUAAAAAGCUCGUAGUUGAAUUUCGGGAUCAAGUCGUCGGUCGUGCUCAGGUACGUACUGGCGUCAUUGAUUUCUCCCUUCUGACGAACCAUGAUGUCAUUAAUUUGGUGUUAUGGGAAAUCAGGACUGUUACUUUGAAAAAAUUAGAGUGUUUAAAGCAGGCUCACGCUUGAAUACAUUAGCAUGGAAUAAUGAAAUAGGACGUUCGAUCCUAUUUUGUUGGUUUUAGGAUCAACGUAAUGAUUAAUAGGGAUAGUUGGGGGCAUUAGUAUUCAAUUGUCAGAGGUGAAAUUCUUGGAUUUAUUGAAGACUAACUACUGCGAAAGCAUUUGCCAAGGAUGUUUUCAUUAAUCAAGAACGAAAGUUAGGGGAUCGAAGACGAUCAGAUACCGUCGUAGUCUUAACCAUAAAUUAUGCCGACUAGGGAUCGGAUGAUGUUAAUUUUUUAAUGACUCAUUCGGCGCCUUACG
RNAcentral lists this ribosomal RNA (520 nucleotides) under uncultured Glomus. RNAcentral describes it as "SSU rRNA". It matches the Rfam family "Eukaryotic small subunit ribosomal RNA", at positions 569 to 1092 of the family's 1831-position model. Lineage: Eukaryota; Fungi; Glomeromycota; Glomeromycetes; Glomerales; Glomeraceae. The record is from RNAcentral.